RNAcentral lists this ribosomal RNA (281 nucleotides) under Geobacillus kaustophilus. RNAcentral's name for it is "partial 16S rRNA". It matches the Rfam family "Bacterial small subunit ribosomal RNA", at positions 64 to 334 of the family's 1533-position model. Lineage: Bacteria; Bacillati; Bacillota; Bacilli; Caryophanales; Anoxybacillaceae. The record is from RNAcentral.
GAGCGGACCAAACGGAGCUUGCUCUGAUUUGGUCAGCGGCGGACGGGUGAGUAACACGUGGGCAACCUGCCCGCAAGACCGGGAUAACUCCGGGAAACCGGAGCUAAUACCGGAUAACACCGAAGACCGCAUGGUCUUUGGUUGAAAGGCGGCUUUGGCUGUCACUUGCGGAUGGGCCCGCGGCGCAUUAGCUAGUUGGUGAGGUAACGGCUCACCAAGGCGACGAUGCGUAGCCGGCCUGAGAGGGUGACCGGCCACACUGGGACUGAGACACGGCCCAG